AAUCGUUUCAAAUGUGCUUUGAAUAAAAGCAAUAAUGAAACUAUUCUUCAGUGCUUUAUUUUCACACCAGCCCUCAUAUGAUGUAAGAGACUGUACACAUCCCUUAAUUAGAACGGUGAUAGAAUAAACACAACUGCAAUUUUUUUCCAUCCUAGAAAAAGACUACUUUUGGUUAAGUCUUUUCUAUCAAGCUGGUAUUCAUUUUGGGGCAGGAAUCCAUGCCACCAACUGUGGAGAAGUUUAUAUGAUACCUAUUGCUGGUCAUUAAAAAAGUCAAUCCCCAAACAACUCCUGCUUUCAUCAAAAUGAGAUUCCUGAAAGGAAGCAGAGUAGAUCACACAAAAAAAUCCGACAGACAACAGCAGUAACAGCAUGCCUCUGAUCUGCUACAGGUGCUGUCCCAUCUCCUUUCAGCAAGUGAAUCACAUUUACUGUGUUCCACAGCCUACAAGCCUUAUGGAGAUGCUCUCAUCAGCAAAUCUCUCAGCAGUUUCAGGCCUAACAAGGCAGCAGCCGCGGCCCCUCCUCUACACACCCUCGUCCCUCACGCCGCCUCCACAGCAAGGGCCCGAAGCCGCCACUGUCCCCAAGGAGGCCAGGCCGCUGACACGCCUCCCCGCUCUCCCCUUGGGAGCCCUGCGCCACAGCGGGACAGAGACACGGAGGGGAAAAUCCAACCGGGCCCAACGCCUCCGCCAGCCGCCACGCCGGCCCGGCCCCGCCGCCACAGCUUUCCCUCGUUCUGCCCCCGCCUAGCCAAUCACCGCCCAGACAGGCCGGGCACGGGAAUAACUGACAGCCAGAAGCAGCCAAUCGUGGCAAAGCUAAGGGCGGGCGCUCGGCACGCGAGCCCCUUUAAAAGGGGCGACCGUUGGCGGAAGGCGGACCGCUGCUGUGCAUGGUGCAGGCGCGGCCGUAAUGGGCCGUUGGGGCGUCGCGCGCGGGCGGUGCCGCGUGGCCGACCUCAGGGCGGGAGAUCCGCCGCCUCAGAGCCUCUCCUGAG
RNAcentral lists this long non-coding RNA (1003 nucleotides) under Calidris pugnax (ruff). RNAcentral describes it as "lncRNA (ENSCPUG00000009183.1)". The record is from RNAcentral. Lineage: Eukaryota; Metazoa; Chordata; Aves; Charadriiformes; Scolopacidae.